RNAcentral lists this unclassified non-coding RNA (345 nucleotides) under soil metagenome. RNAcentral describes it as "partial contains 5.8S ribosomal RNA, internal transcribed spacer 2, and large subunit ribosomal RNA". The stretch from base 1 to 120 matches the Rfam family "5.8S ribosomal RNA", at positions 35 to 154 of the family's 154-position model. The record is from RNAcentral.
GAUGAAGAACGGAGCGAAAUGCGAUACGUAAUGUGAAUUGCAGAAUUCAGUGAAUCAUCGAGUCUUUGAACGCACAUUGCGCCCCCUGGUAUUCCGGGGGGCAUGCCUGUCCGAGCGUCAUUGCUGCCCUCAAGCACGGCUUGUGUGUUGGGCCUCCGUCCUCCUCCCGGGGGACGGGCCCGAAAGGCAGCGGCGGGACCGCGUCCGGUCCUCGAGCGUAUGGGGCUUCGUCACCCGCUCUUGUAGGCCCGGCCGGCGCUUGCCGACACAUCAAUCUUUUUUCCAGGUUGACCUCGGAUCAGGAAGGGAUACCCGCUGAACUUAAGCAUAUCAAUAAGCGGAGGA